AUUUAAGUUGUUGCAGUUAAAAAGCUCGUAGUUGGAUUUCGGGUGUGAACGACCGGUCCGUCUUUGAUGCGUACUGGUUGGUUGCGCCUUAUUGUCGAGGACGUGGUUCUAGCUUUCAUUAGCCGGGACACGGAGUCGGCAGCGUUACUUUGAGAAAAUUAGAGUGUUCAAAGCAGGCUAUCGCUCUGAAUACUACAGCAUGGAAUAACACGAUAGGACUCCGAGCCUAUUCUGUUGGUCUUCGGGACCGGAGUAAUGAUUAAGAGGGACAGUUGGGGGCAUUCGUAUUCCGAUGUCAGAGGUGAAAUUCUUGGAUUAUCGGAAGACGAACAUCUGCGAAAGCAUUUGCCAAGGAUGUUUUCAUUAAUCAAGAACGAAAGUUGGGGGCUCGAAGAAGAUCAGAUACCUUCCUAGUCUCAACCAUAAACGAUGCCGACUAGGGAUUGGCGGAUGUUUUUUAUGACUCCGUCAGCACCUUACGAGAAAUCAAAGUCUUUGGGUUCCGGGGGGAGUAUGGUCGCAAGGCUGAAACUUAAAGGAAU
RNAcentral lists this ribosomal RNA (542 nucleotides) under uncultured Chlorophyta. Its description in RNAcentral is "SSU rRNA". It matches the Rfam family "Eukaryotic small subunit ribosomal RNA", at positions 603 to 1153 of the family's 1831-position model. The record is from RNAcentral. Lineage: Eukaryota; Viridiplantae; Chlorophyta.